GGGCCCGCACAAGCAGUGGAGCAUGUGGUUUAAUUCGAUGCAACGCGAAGAACCUUACCAGGGCUUGACAUACUACAAAUCUUUUAGAGAUAGAAGAGUGCUUUCGAGAAUGUAGAUACAGGUGGUGCAUGGCUGUCGUCAGCUCGUGUCGUGAGAUGUUGGGUUAAGUCCCGCAACGAGCGCAACCCUCGUUUUUAGUUGCCAAUUUAUUGGUUUUUUAGAAAGACUGCCGGUGACAAACCGGAGGAAGGUGAGGAUGACGUCAAGUCAGCAUGCCCCUUAUGUCCUGGGCUACACACGUGCUACAAUGAUGGGGACAAAGAGUUGCCAAUCUGCGAAGAUGAGCUAAUCUCGUAAACCCCAUCCAAGUUCGGAUUGUAGGCUGCAACUCGCCUACGUGAAGGCGGAAUCGCUAGUAAUCG
Molecule: ribosomal RNA, 422 nt
Filed under: uncultured bacterium
Lineage: Bacteria
Description: bacterial SSU rRNA
Rfam family: Bacterial small subunit ribosomal RNA
Source: RNAcentral